Nycticebus coucang (slow loris) is the source of this 103-nucleotide small nuclear RNA. The record is from RefSeq and is a predicted model, not a curated record. Lineage: Eukaryota; Metazoa; Chordata; Mammalia; Primates; Lorisidae.
CUCAGUUCGGCAGAACAUAUCUAAAAUUGGAACGAUACAGAGAAGAUUAGCACGUCCCCUGUGAAAGGAUGACCCGCAAAUUCGUGAAGUGUUCCAUAUUUAA